This 407-nucleotide ribosomal RNA is filed under the name uncultured bacterium. RNAcentral describes it as "partial 16S ribosomal RNA". It matches the Rfam family "Bacterial small subunit ribosomal RNA", at positions 30 to 526 of the family's 1533-position model. The record is from RNAcentral.
AUUGAACGCUGGCGGCAGGCCUAACACAUGCAAGUCGAGCGGAACGGCGGACGGGUGGGUAAUGCCUAGGAAUCAGCCUGGCAGUGGGGGAGAACGUCCGGAUAGAGGCGGUAAUAACGCAUACUAUCAGACAAGCCUGGCUCGGAUUAGCUAGUUGGUGGGUUAAAUGCCUACCAAGGCGACGAUCCGUAACUGGUCUGAGAGGGGGAUCAGUCACACUGGAACUGAGACACGGUCCAGACUCCUACGGGAGGCAGCAGUGGGGAAUAUUGGACAAUGGGCGAAAGCCUGAUCCAGCCAUGCCGCGUGUGUGAAGAAGGUCUUCGGAUUGUAAAGCACUUUAAGCUGGGAGGCGUUACCAACAGAAGAAGCACCGGCUAACUUCGUGCCAGCAGCCGCGGUAAUUC